GAAAUCAUAUUUAUCAUUCGUAAUUGGUGGUGAAUUUGAUAACGUAAGGGAAAAAAAUGAUGUUACCUUACUAUUAGUGUUGUCCAAAACUGGUGCCAGAAGACUCGGUAAGGCCAGAGACGCAAACGUUAGUCGUCCUAAUCAGGCGUAAAGGGUUUGUAGGCUGCUUUGAAAAUUUUACUUUUUAUAAUAGCUCUGUCACCGUAAAAUUACUAAAUCAGUAAUUUAUAUAAUUUAAUUAUAAAUGAUAUUACAAAUUUAAUUAUUAAUAAUAUCCGUGUGUCUGUAAAAAUAAAAUGAAUUAAAGCUAGGAUCAAAUAGAGGAUAAACCGAAUAAUACUUAGAGUAGGGAUGAUAUCCGUAGAUACUAAGGGGAAUACUAAUGGUGAAAGCUUUUUAUCUACUAUUGAUUGACGCUGAGAAACGAAGGUGAGAAUAGGAAAUAGGAUUAGAUACCCAGAUACCUCUCACUGUCAACGAUGAAUGGUGGUUGUUAGUUUUAAUAAAAACUGGUAACGAUGUUAACACGAUAACCAUUCCGCCUUGCGAGUACGGUUGCAAAACUGAAACCAAAAAAAUUAGUCGGUCU
This 589-nucleotide ribosomal RNA is filed under the name Gerhardtia sp. HC01/025. RNAcentral's name for it is "partial 12S ribosomal RNA". It matches the Rfam family "Bacterial small subunit ribosomal RNA", at positions 410 to 919 of the family's 1533-position model. Lineage: Eukaryota; Fungi; Basidiomycota; Agaricomycetes; Agaricales; Lyophyllaceae. The record is from RNAcentral.